CUUUUUUUCCCUUUUGUUUUCCCUACUUCAUUCCAGAUACCUAUAGUGAACUGGAUGAAGCAUUGUUCUGGGCAUUAGUCGUGGGGAGAGGCUUUGAGAUACGUUUGGAGAAUAGAAAACAUUCUGGAUGAUGAUGAGAACGUAUUAAAUGUUCCUUACCACCAAAAAGGUGGGGGGGAAGGAGAGGAGAGGAAGAUGCCCUGGAAAUUAAAGGCUAGAUAACUUAGCUUCACUUCUUGGCAUUUCCUUGAACAAAUCAAACUUUUACAAACUAGACAAUAAGGAGAGAGAUUAGUAUCAGAGUGGAUUUGUACAGAACAAGUAUGCAAAGUAUUUUUCUAGUAAUUAUUAUUGAUAAAGAGAAAAAUAGCAGAUAUCAAAUCAACUUGGGACGUGACUUCUGGAGAUCAACAUGACAGUCAGCUAGAUAAAAAGCAUUUUCUCAGCCAGGUAUCUUGGGGUUUUACCAUAUUGCAAAGAGACUAUGACUCAAAACGUUUCUCUUAGCAAUAAAUGAAUAUGCUGUGUGAAGAUAGAUCAGCAAAGGUACUAUGCAUGUGAAAUCUGUUCUGUUCUGCUGUGUGAUAGUACAGUCUCAGCUCAAAUUUGUUGACAUUCUCUCCUGAGCAUGAUUCUUCAUUCAGACUGUUAGAACAUGGACUGCCCACAUCAACACCUUUUAUGGAAGGCAGUUGGUUAUUACUGUAACAUUCUUUGGCUAACUAAUCUUAGUCAAUUUGCCUUUUUUCCCUGGCCUUGACAAAGCUAUUGAGAUUUCUUUAUACUAAAAACAAUAGUAGUAAUAAAAAUAGAAUAUCUAGGACUUAAACUAUUUUCCUUUUUAUUUGCUAUUCAUCUAAAGCAAACUGACUCCAUGACCAACAUCAACAAAAAUGUGUUUGUUUCUAAAAUCACAGAAUCUCAAAAUAGUUGUGACUUAAAAGUUAAGGACUUUAAAAACUUGAGAGCAAGAGCAAAUGUAACUUCUUCCUUUUUUAAGAAAGAAUUAAGGAUUGAAGUUUCAGGACUGAACUUAUCUGCACUAGGAAUAAAUAAAAUGCUAUUUUUCCAUUCUAUUCUUGUUAGUUUUAUUAAUUCCCAGGCUAAGAAAUGUUUUAGCUGGUCUCCAAGGUUUUAUAAGAUAGUUGUAAACUCUGUAAAUAAAGACUUAACAAAGACUGAAAUAACCAUAAAAUCGCUGUUUAAAAUGAAGCCACCUGUUGUCAUUUUGUGUUCUUGAGGGGAAAAAAGCACAGUGAGGUAGAAAAAUAAAAAGUGUAUUAGAAUAUCAGUUAAACAGGUUCUUAAUCCCAAAGUCUCAUUUGCUUCACUGGGAGUGUCUUCACUGAUUUUGAUUAGCGUUUUAUUAACUCAAAUGGAAUACUGUAUCUAGAUCUAAGGGCAACUAUUCACAUGAAUCUGAAUACCAAAUGUUACCUGAAUUCGGAUUGAAGUCUAAAACUUUUGUUUAACUCUCCAAAUUCACUGUAAUCUCUUAGACUGUUCCAUUAUCUCAUCCACCUACUCAUAUUUUCCACUUUACUUAAUAAGAGCUUUGGAAACAAAUCAAACUGAUACUGUUAGCAUAAAUCUGGGAAAGUCAGGCUUUAGCAAUCUGAAAUAUGAAGUCUGUUAUAUUGUGCAGAUAGAACUCUGCCCAAAGAAUUUCAUGCUAAAAGAAACAGUAAUUUAGAUACUCCAGACGAUUAUCAGUUACAUUUACUUUUUCAUACUUUGUCAGUUUCUGAGGUAUCCUGUCAUAUGUUGCAGAUUUUUUUAAUAUCAUGUUUAAUAAUUUGUGCAUCGUGUUUAAUAAUUUGUACCAGUAACAAAUUUUGAAGCAUUUUUACUUUGUUUUUUCACAAGAGAUGGCCUUACACCUUUCUAUAACCUUAACUGAUGAUAAUACAGUACUAACAUAAUGACUAAAGAGAUUCUGAAUGUAGUGAACUUUUUUAUGCUUAAACGGAGCAGAUUUUUGCCACUCUUUGUGGCAAAAAGUGUUAAAGUACUUUCAUUAUCUAGUAGCAACCACACGUCUGGUGGUCCAAGAGAGUGAAAGUCCAGUGAUACUGCUACAUUUGGGGCUUUAAGUUCUCCCAAAAGGCUUUUGCCAUUUGUACAGCUGGUAAAGUCAGCUCAAUUUAUGCAGACUGUGUCAGGUCUUAGAAUCUCAAUUAAUUCAAAAUAAUUUAUUUUGCUAAAUGUUUCCUACUCCUUAUUCAUAUAAAUUAGUGAAGACGUAUCAAUAACAUUACUUACCAGAUGGUUUAUUGGUUGAAGUGGGAAUACUAGUAACGGCAGGCAUGGUUGGUAAGGUAGGUGGCAGAACCUUUAAGUUCUGAUCACUCUGAAUCUCAUUAGUAGAUAUCUGAUUAAUCAUACGAUUGUAAGUAGGAGGCUGGUACACUUUGCUUGGCGGUUGUGGAGUUUGUGGCAGAGGCUUUAUGGAUGGCAUUCUUUGACAGUAUUCUUCUAGCUGGUUAAUUAUUAUUGACUGAUUAUUUGCAAUUGACAUCAAAUGUUGAUACUUGUACUCUAAGUCUUUGUAUUUGUUUGCAAGCUGCAGCAUGUCUGCAGUUUGAUUCAAGAUCUUAUUCUCAAGUUGGGAAAGUUCCAAGGCAUUGUCCCGUUUUCGGAUAAUUUCAUGUAAUAACUGCAUAUAGAGUUGUGUGACACGAGAGUUCAUAUUUCUGCUCUCUUUUCUUAAGAGCUUGACCUCAUUAACAAUCCCACCAUCUACCUCUACCAGUUGCUGGAGAGUUUCUAUUUGUCUCUUUUGUUUAAGGAGUUCAUUGUUAAGUAACUGUAAUUCUUGUUUAUUUACCCUGUUUUCGAGGAGAACCUCAGGUUCUUUAGAAUUCACACAAAUGGCACCUGUCACUCUCUGUUGAGGUACAAUAAAGGUGUAAGUGCAUUUGUCCUGUGGAUCACUGGAACGCUUGUAUCUGUUCAUAUAAAUGAACUCUUGUUCUCUUUCCUCAUCAUUGUCUUCAAAUUCUUGUGUUUUGCUAGCAGCAGUUCCUACAGCAGCUAUAAGCAUUAAACAGAUGAAUCUUGUUGUCAUCAUGAUCCUCUAUUUCUGGUCAAAUAUUCUUCUGCAAAGAACUUCAUAAAAUCCUGCCUCCUUCGUCUUCUUUCUUCUGUCCUUAGCGUGCUUUCAUCAAAGUUUAUCAGAACCACUCAUCCGCAGGGGCUGUGACAUCUCUCUUGGCUGUUGGUAUCAUACACACAACUCUUCCGUGACGGUAGCCUGAAGUCUGUAGCUGGGUAGCUGCUGCACUUAAGUUCAAUAAGCAAAUAUCUAGAUGUUCUACAAAAAUAUUCCCUUUCUUUUUUGUUUGUUUUUUUAAAGAUUUUUCACAGCAUGGCCAUGUGUCCGUACAGUAUUACUGUUGAGACACAGGCUUCCUUUUGGUAGGAGAGAACUUGG
Molecule: long non-coding RNA, 3433 nt
Filed under: Gallus gallus (chicken)
Lineage: Eukaryota; Metazoa; Chordata; Aves; Galliformes; Phasianidae
Source: RNAcentral